RNAcentral lists this ribosomal RNA (254 nucleotides) under uncultured bacterium. Its description in RNAcentral is "partial 16S ribosomal RNA". It matches the Rfam family "Bacterial small subunit ribosomal RNA", at positions 524 to 776 of the family's 1533-position model. The record is from RNAcentral.
UACGGAGGAUCCAAGCGUUAUCCGGAAUUACUGGGUGUAAAGAGUUGCGUAGGUGGCAUAGUAAGUAGAUAGUGAAAGCGUGCGGCUCAACCGCAUACACAUUAUCUAAACUGCUAAGCUAGAAGAUGAGAGAGGUCACUGGAAUUCCCUGUGUAGGAGUGAAAUCCGUAGAUAUAGGGAGGAACACCGAUGGCGUAGGCAGGUGACUGGCUCAUUCUUGACACUAAGGCACGAAAGCGUGGGGAGCAAACGGG